UAGGGAAUCUUCCGCAAUGGACGCAAGUCUGACGGAGCAACGCCGCGUGAGUGAAGAAGGAUUUCGGUUCGUAAAACUCUGUUGUUAGAGAAGAACAGCGCAUAGAGUAACUGUUAUGCGUGUGACGGUAUCUAACCAGAAAGCCACGGCUAACUACGUGCCAGCAGCCGCGGUAAUACGUAGGUGGCAAGCGUUGUCCGGAUUUAUUGGGCGUAAAGCGAGCGCAGGCGGUCAAUUAAGUCUGAUGUGAAAGCCCCCGGCUCAACCGGGGAGGGUCAUUGGAGACUGGUUGACUUGAGUGCAGAAGAGGUGAGUGGACUUCCAUGUGUGGCGGUGAAAUGCGUAGAUAUAUGGAGGAACACCAGUGGCGAAGGCGACUCUCUGGUCUGUAACUGACGCUGAGGCUCGAAAGCGUGGGUAGCAAACAGG
RNAcentral lists this ribosomal RNA (429 nucleotides) under Bacteroidota bacterium. RNAcentral describes it as "Bacteroidetes bacterium partial 16S ribosomal RNA". It matches the Rfam family "Bacterial small subunit ribosomal RNA", at positions 355 to 776 of the family's 1533-position model. Lineage: Bacteria; Pseudomonadati; Bacteroidota. The record is from RNAcentral.